This is a long non-coding RNA of Asparagus officinalis (garden asparagus), 867 nucleotides long. RefSeq lists it as uncharacterized. Lineage: Eukaryota; Viridiplantae; Streptophyta; Magnoliopsida; Asparagales; Asparagaceae. The transcript is spliced from 2 exons. The record is from RefSeq and is a predicted model, not a curated record.
GACCCAAGAUCUCUCUCUCUCUCUCUCCCAAAAAAUCCCCAAUCCCUCCUCCAUCUCCAAUCGAACCUCCCCCUCCAUCUCCAAUCCGCCAUCUCCAACGCCGACGAUCUCCCAAAUCACCCAUCUCCAACCGGAGCUCCCCAGAUCCGCCUCACCACCACGACUACAAAGUUUGAGACCGCCUCCUCCGCCACGACUACGACGUCUGAGAUCGCCGACUUCCCCAACUCAUCCGACGCCGACAACGAUUAAGUCCAACUUCGCUGACCGUGACCGACUAUCCCCAACUCCCUCGAGCUCGAUCUUGAGAUCCCCCAACUCAGGUUAUCCAUGGCUAGAAAAAGUUUUUAUGUUGUGAAGAGAGGUUGACGAUGUGAUAUUUUUAAUAAUUGGGAGGAAUGUAAAUCUCAGGUAGAUAAGUUCCCAAAUGCCUCCUACAAAGGGUAUGCAACAUACGAAGAGGCUUUGAUUGAAUGAGAGAAGCACACACUCGCUCGUGAUUCAGCAUCCAGCACGAGGCCUGUCCAAACAUCUGUUUAUGCUUAAGAACAAAGAUAUCCAGUGAGCCAUAAUCUGAAUGUUAACAAGGAAAAACUUACGGAAACUUUUAUUUUCUCUAUCUAUGCUUUUGUAUUAGGUUCAUUGUUUACAAUAUUAGUAUUUCUAGUAUGUAUCGUUGCGGUAUUUGUUGGUUUCUCCAUUGCAAAAAACAUGUGAUGUAAUUUGUGGCUGAGCUUGCAUUGGUUGGAUAAACUUUUUGUUUAGCUCAUGUUAAAUUGAUUUUUAAUCAGCUAUUGUGUUUUUACAGAAAUGAGAUGUAGAGGAAAGAGCAGAACAUUUACAAAUGAAUCUUAUAGUAGCUUAUGA